AGAAACUCAAAUGAAUUGACGGGGGCCCGCACAAGCGGAGGAGCAUGUGGUUUAAUUCGAUGAUACGCGAGGAACCUUACCUGGGCUUAAAUGCUUAAUGACGUACUGGGAAACUGGUAUUUCUUCGGACAUUUUGCAAGGUGCUGCAUGGUUGUCGUCAGCUCGUGCCGUGAGGUGUCGGGUUAAGUCCCAUAACGAGCGCAACCCCUAUUGUUAGUUGCCAUCAGGUCAUGCUGGGGACUCUAACAAAACUGCCCGCGUAAGCGUGGAGGAAGGUGGGGAUGACGUCAAAUCAGCACGGCCCUUACGUCCAGGGCUACACACGUGCUACAAUGGCCGGUACAGAGCGCAGCGAGGCCGCGAGGCGGAGCGAAUCGCUUAAAGCCGGUCCCAGUACGGAUUGGAGUCUGCAACCCGACUCCAUGAAGUUGGAAUCGCUAGUAAUCGCGCAUCAGCAUGGCGCGGUGAAUACGUUCCCGGGCCUU
RNAcentral lists this ribosomal RNA (485 nucleotides) under uncultured Bacteroidota bacterium. RNAcentral describes it as "bacterial SSU rRNA". It matches the Rfam family "Bacterial small subunit ribosomal RNA", at positions 895 to 1382 of the family's 1533-position model. Lineage: Bacteria; Pseudomonadati; Bacteroidota. The record is from RNAcentral.